RNAcentral lists this ribosomal RNA (235 nucleotides) under Paguristes tortugae. RNAcentral describes it as "partial 12S ribosomal RNA". The record is from RNAcentral. Lineage: Eukaryota; Metazoa; Arthropoda; Malacostraca; Decapoda; Diogenidae.
UAAACGAUAUGCCACGAAAAAUCUUACUUGUUUUAAAUAGUUUGUAUACCGUCAUUAUUAGAUAAUCCUUAAAGGGAGAAUUAUUUAAAUUAAUAUAAUUAAGUAUAUUAGAUCAAGGUGCAGCUUAUAGGCAAGAAAAAAUGGGUUACAAUAAAUUAGUUGUAUAUAUAAUUUAAUAAGUUAUAUAGAAAUUGGCUCUAAAGUGUGUACAUAUCGCCCGUCGCUCGCGGGAAAA